This 73-nucleotide transfer RNA is filed under the name Chloroflexota bacterium. RNAcentral describes it as "Chloroflexi bacterium tRNA-Val". It matches the Rfam family "tRNA". From Rfam's summary of the family: Transfer RNA (tRNA) molecules are approximately 80 nucleotides in length. Lineage: Bacteria; Bacillati; Chloroflexota. RNAcentral also lists the same sequence under 1 other name. The record is from RNAcentral.
GGGCGGUUAGCUCAGCUGGUAGAGCGUCUGCUUUACACGCAGAAUGUCGGGAGUUCGAGUCUCUCACCGCCCA